UUUAAAUGUAAAAAAUAAAAAUUAGAGUAGUAUUAGAUAUGUUCUUAAAACUUAAAAAAUUUGGCGGUAUUUUAUUCUAUUCAGAGGAACUUGUUUUAUAAUCGAUAAUCCUCGUUAUAUCUUACUUAAAUUUGUUUAAUUUGUAUAUCGUUGUCAUAAGAAUAUCUUAAAAAAGUAAUAAUAUUCUAAUAUAGAAAUUAUUUAUUAUGUCAGAUCAAGGUGCAGUGUAUAUUUAAGUAAAAAUGAGUUACAAUUAAAUUAUUAAUUUAUGGAAUUAAAGAUGGAAUAUUUUUAUGAAGGUGGAUUUGAAAGUAAAUUUAAAAAUAAAAUUAAAUUGAUUAUAGUUUUAAAAUGUGC
This 357-nucleotide ribosomal RNA is filed under the name unidentified. Its description in RNAcentral is "Keroplatus tipuloides partial 12S ribosomal RNA". The record is from RNAcentral.